This 644-nucleotide ribosomal RNA is filed under the name uncultured bacterium. Its description in RNAcentral is "bacterial SSU rRNA". The stretch from base 1 to 550 matches the Rfam family "Bacterial small subunit ribosomal RNA", at positions 338 to 873 of the family's 1533-position model. The record is from RNAcentral.
CCUACGGGAGGCAGCAGUGGGGAAUAUUGGACAAUGGGCGGAAGCCUGAUCCAGCCAUGCCGCGUGUGUGAAGAAGGCCUUUUGGUUGUAAAGCACUUUAAGCGAGGAGGAGGCUACUAGUAUUAAUACUACUGGAUAGUGGACGUUACUCGCAGAAUAAGCACCGGCUAACUCUGUGCCAGCAGCCGCGGUAAUACAGAGGGUGCGAGCGUUAAUCGGAUUUACUGGGCGUAAAGCGUGCGUAGGCGGCUGAUUAAGUCGGAUGUGAAAUCCCUGAGCUUAACUUAGGAAUUGCAUUCGAUACUGGUCAGCUAGAGUAUGGGAGAGGAUGGUAGAAUUCCAGGUGUAGCGGUGAAAUGCGUAGAGAUCUGGAGGAAUACCGAUGGCGAAGGCAGCCAUCUGGCCUAAUACUGACGCUGAGGUACGAAAGCAUGGGGAGCAAACAGGAUUAGAUACCCUGGUAGUCCAUGCCGUAAAACGNUGUCUACUAGCCGGUUGGGUUCUUUGAGUACGUUUAGUGGCGCGGCGUAACGCGAGUAAGUUAGCCGCCGUUGGGGUUAGGUACGGUUCGCGAGACGUUAAACGUUAAAGGUUAAGUUAGACGGCGUUGAGACGNGCGACGGACGACGACGAGGGAGGUUAGG